This 4051-nucleotide unclassified non-coding RNA is filed under the name Drosophila erecta. Its description in RNAcentral is "GG15484". Lineage: Eukaryota; Metazoa; Arthropoda; Insecta; Diptera; Drosophilidae. The record is from RNAcentral.
CUUUCGGGCGCUCAAUUCAUCACAAUCGAUCAGUAGCCCGGGGUUUUCGGCUACUUGAAUCCACUUCACAUCCAUCGACAGGAGGGCCCGGCAAAUCAGAGAGGCAACAAUGGAGGCCGAGGAAGUUACAAAACUCGUGGAUGGCGUGUACCGGAACAUACUCGAUCGAUUCAAUCCGGGUGCCAGGCAGCUGAUCGCAGCGGGCAAAAGUUACCUCAAGGCGUUGCACGGUGCCGCAACCGCCUCGCGUCUAUUCAAUGAAGCAUUGGCCAAGAUUGCGAUGAACGCCCAGCAAAGCGGAACGGGCGAUAUUGGUUCGGCUUUGAUGAGCGUUGUGAACGUGAACAAGGAGAUACAGGAUCAGCAGAUGAAUAUUCUGAAAGCCUUUUACGUGGAUCUUUUGGUGCCAUUGGAGACAAAUCUGGAGAAGGACACAAAGGUGGUGCAGCAUGAGCAGAAGAAGUUCCUGCAGCAGCACAAGGUGCGAAUGGAGAGCUAUCAGAAGGCCGUCUCCACGAUGAAGAAGCAGCGCAAGAAAAAGGCCACGCCCGAGAACACCGAAAAGGAGCUUAGGAGCCUCCAAUUGCUCGAGGAUCAGAAGAAAAAGCUGGAUGUGUUCUGCGAUCAGAGCUACAAGAAUGCCAUGACACAGGAGCGACGACGGUACGGAUUCGUCUUGGAGCGCCAGUGCUCGAUCGCCAAGCACUGGAUGGUCUACCACACCACCGGCAAGACGGUAAUUGAUAAUAAUUUGGAAAAUUGGCAAGAGAUUGCCGCUUCUCGUGAGAUCAUUCCCCCGGCCGCCUAUGAAAGUGGAUACAGCACCAGCAACGGACAGAACAACAACACCAGCGGCAACAUGCGACGCCUGGAGCGCAUUAAGGACGGCGAGGAUGACCACCUCCAGGGUCACGGAGCUCAGCUGAAGAAGUCGCGCAGCAUCGAUGCCCCCUAUGGUGACAUGCGCACCCUGCACGAACGGGAGAACAUUUCCGGAUUGGGCGGAACUGGGCCAUCGCACUACGCCCAGAACUCGCUGCCACGCGCAAAAUCCGAUUUCAAUCUGGCUUUAGUUGGCACUGGACAAAGCUCAGCCAACAAGCACAAGAUCAUUGAGGAGCAGCUGGCCACUCUGGGCGACGAUCAGCGCGGUGAUCAGCGUCCGCUGGUGAAGGCCCUCUACGCCUACAUGCCCUCCGGGGAGAACCAGUUGUCCUUCGAGGAGGGCGACCGCAUUGCUCUGGUGGGCGGCAAGGCCAAGGGCUGGCAAUUCGGUGAGAAUCUGCGGACACAGCACUUUGGCUGGUUCCCGGUGGCCUACACCAAUGCGGAAGUGGCGGAGACGGCCACUUCCGGUGGCCGGCGAUACGAAAACAUGCUGAUGAGCUAUGAGCGGAAUGGAGGCGGUUCCGGUUCAGGUUCUGGCGGAGGCGGUCUGCGCAGCUAUCAGCAGCAGCAGGACUACGAGGCGCAGCUGGAGCUGAUGGAGAGCCAUGAGGCCACAUACCGCAGGCGAAGGAACCACAGCGCCGAGGAGUCAUCACCCACGCGAAUGUUCGGCGACACAAUCAAGCAGCAGAAGAAGUACCGACCCGGAUCCGGAGCCAAUCCUCGCCCGGGUCCGCCACCCACUCUGCCCGCUCCGGUGCCCAAUGGACCGCAGAGCCAGUCAUCCAGGAUGCUGAACAGCUCGCAAAGCUUCUGUGCCUCCAACGGAGGAGUCACUGCGGCGGUGGAAAGACGCAAGCAAAAGCUACUAAAUGGAGUGCAGAGUUCCAAGAACCAUCCAUCGGGCAAAUCCGGAGUGGCUGCCAAGACCUCGCUGCACAGCAGCAAUGACAGUGGAUUCGCCAACGAGCCGCCGCCACAGCCGGAGGUUGACUAUUCGGAUGAGGAGCCAGCCACACAAAGAGUGGCCAUUCGACGCCGGGCGGACACCAAUUCGCAUACCAACACGGUGCCCAGGGAUGUGGCCUCGUGGACGUUGAACCGGAACUUCCGGAACAGCGUCGAUAGUCAGAUCGACGACAAGAGCCUGCAUCGGCUGAGCCGGCAGAGCGGAGGAGUCGGAAAGAUGCGAUACGAUCUUAUUGCCUCCGAUGACGAGAUCCUGCAGGCUUCCAGUGCCGGUCUGAAGCGCACCAAAUCCUUCUGGAAAUUUGGCGGCGGACGCAAUGGCGAGGACAUACUGGCCGGCAUGUCUUUGUGGCAACACCGCGACCUGGUGGCGGCUCCAAAUCUGGAGGAGAUGCGCGACAGGGAUGACCUGGAGCGUCGUUUGGAGGAGGAUCGCAAUGGCACACUGACCAAGUCGCACAACUCCAGUUCAUCGCAGGAGAAGCGCGAACGCAAGGACAGCCUGACCAGCACCGAAUUGUAUGGCGAUGAGGAUGAGAAUAUCUACGGAGUGAGUCCACAGCAACCGCCACAGCAGCAGCAGCAGCAACAACAGCAACAGCAGCAGCAGCAGCAGCACAGGAGCAGCUAUACUCCCAAAUCCCGCAUGAAGAUCAUGAAGACCAUUGAGAUUGAUAUUGAGGAGCCAACGGAGGCGGAGCGGAUGAGCACCAUGCGACGUGGUCAGUCGCAGGAUCAGCAGCAGCAUGUGCAGCAGCAGCACCGAAAGUUGGACAAACAGAUUUCCGGCACCGGAUCGCAACACAAAUCCCUGACAUUGAGUCGCACCAAGAGCAACCAGCAGCUGCAGCAGCAGCAGUUUCCACAAUCCACGGAUGAGGGUGAAAGCGAUGAGCACGGAACCCUGAAGCUCAGCGAUGUGAACAACUUCUUUGACGGGGAGGGCAAGAACAACAGCCAUGGCCAUGGGCUGGUCAUGAAGACGGUGAAGCGACAGGACAUACUCAAGCAGUAUUAUACCAGCGAGGACGAGGAGGAUUCCGAUGCGGAGCUCAAGUCGACUAGCUCCGAUCCCUACGAUUGCAUCGUAAUCAACGAUCACCUGGUGCGCAAGGAUGACAAGAUGCGGCGGCAUCACCAGCAGCAGCAUCAGCAAAUGGAGUUCCACACCUUCCGUUCCUCCACAUCCACGACGGCGACCAAUACGCUGAAAAAGAGCGCCUCCAAGGACCAGGACAGCACACUGACCCGCAAUUCCACGGCCAGUUCGGGUGCACCGACGGCUACCAUCCUGCCGCGAACACGCCUGCUCAAGUCCUCCGCCUCCGCCUCCGCUGGUAAUAACAUCGCCAACAGCAGUGCCACCUUGGAGCGGAACUCAAAGGGCCUGGGCGGAAACAAGAGCUACGGACCAUGGUACGACUUCUGGGAUCAGGAACAGCAUGGCCAGAAGUUGGCCAGCGCCAAGCUAAAGUAAUGAAAGGGUUAAGAAUCGGUGCGUGUACGUAAUAAUACAACAAUUUCGCCGUCUUCUUACCGGUUAAGAAAAUGGGCAGAGAGAGAGCGUGAAAGUGGAGGGAAAGUGCGGCUGAGGGAAAGGAUAAGUUACGUAAGAGUGAUCCCCAGCAACCCAACCCUUUUCCAGUUCGCCUUGUCUCCUCACUUUGAAUUAAGCAUUAUUUACCCUGUAUAAUUUCUUAGUUUAGCCUAAGGCAAAUUCUGUUUUGUUUGUUUAUGUACAUAUCAUAUAUAUUAAUCGUAAGGCAAUUGCAAUUUUGUGUUUGCCAACGACGUGCGAUGGCAAUGGAAAAAUGUCAAUUCAUUCCUGUACAUGCCAGAGGAAACUUUCUAGAACAAGGACCUCUCCAUUGAACAUUCAAACCUUUGAGCUUCGGUGCCUGCAUGCAUAUCAUUAAAUGUAUUUUGUUUAAGACUAAGCUCACGCCCUGUUUCGCCAUUGGUUAGUCGGAAUAAUGCAAAUGUCAAUUGGUUUUAGGAGGCGCGGUAUAUAUCGCAACUAUUCCAUAGAUUACUGACCUGUAGCGAGCCCGUGUAUCCCAGCUAGCCCCACCAUUCCCCGUAUUAGAUUGCAUUUCCAGCCAGCCUCCCAGUUCGCCACGGUCAAGUUGCGACACACCAAGACCAACGACCGAUCGGCACCGAUGAUCUAUCGGAGUGUGAACAAGUAGCAACG